Molecule: ribosomal RNA, 404 nt
Filed under: uncultured bacterium
Lineage: Bacteria
Also listed under: 1 other name
Description: partial 16S ribosomal RNA
Rfam family: Bacterial small subunit ribosomal RNA
Source: RNAcentral
UGGGGAAUCUUGGACAAUGGGCGCAAGCCUGAUCCAGCCAUGCCGCGUGAGUGAUGAAGGCCCUAGGGUUGUAAAACUCUUUCGUGGGGGACGAUAAUGACGGUACCCCAAGAAGAAGCUCCGGCUAACUUCGUGCCAGCAGCCGCGGUAAUACGAAGGGGGCUAGCGUUGUUCGGAUUUACUGGGCGUAAAGCGCGUGUAGGCGGGCUGGAAAGUUGGGGGUGAAAUCCCGAGGCUCAACCUCGGAACUGCCUCCAAAACUUCCAGCCUGGACUCAAGUAGAGGCAAGUGGAAUUGCGAGUGUAGAGGUGAAAUUCGUAGAUAUUCGCAGGAACACCAGUGGCGAAGGCGACUUGCUGGACUUGUAGUGACGCUGAGACGCGAAAGCGUGGGGAGCAAACAGG